AUGGCCACCACGAGAUCCCCGCUCGUGGCAAGCCACUCACCCCGCAUCCUGGGUUCUCCAUGGCCGUUAGUUCUCUGCGCGAAGGUAGUCUUCGGGAUGAACGCUCUCAACGGCCGUGAGCCGGACGGCAAGUCUUAUAUGGGAGGGAACUGGGACAUGACAAAUGCAGCAUCGUUCAUCAAGUACACCGUCAGUAAGGGCUACGACAUCCAUGGUUGGGAGCUCGGAAAUGAGCUCGGAGGCAAGGCAGUCGGCACCUUGAUCGCGGCUGACCAAUAUGCUAAAGACGUGACCUUUCUGAAAUGGGUCGUCGAAGAUACUUACGAGGACAGCCCAUCGAAGCCGCUGCUGCUCGCUCCGGGAAGCUUCUUCGACAAAGACUGGUUCAGUGAGUUCAUCACCAAAACCAGUCCAGAUACCGUCAGUGUGGUCAGCCACCACAUCUACAAUCUGGGGGCAGGAGUAGAGACCGGCCUCGUCAAGAGGAUCCUCAACCCCUCUUACCUCGACGGGGUGGCGAGACAAUUCAGUGAUCUCCAGGAGUUGCUGAAAACCGCAGGGUCGUCGGUCGUCGCGUGGGUCGGCGAGGCUGGAGGGGCUUACAACAGUGGCCACCACCUUGUCACUGACGCGUUUGUGUUCAGCUUCUGGUACCUGGACCAACUUGGCAUGUCAGCGAAGUACAACACAAAGACUUACUGCAGGCAGAGCUUCAUUGGUGGCAACUAUGACCUGCUCAACACAACAACAUUCCAACCAAACCCUGACUACUACAGUGCGCUACUAUGGCAUCGCCUGAUGGGAACCAAAGUUCUAGAUGCCAAAUUCAGCGGCACCACCAACCUGAUCCGUGCCUACGCACAUUGUGCGAAGAACUCGUCAGGCAUCAGUUUGUUGUUGAUGAACCUGCACGGCAACGCCAGGAACGAUGUGUCCUUGACAAGUGAGGAGCUGCUUGUAGUUGACGCGUCUGGAGUCACGAGGGAGGAGUACCACCUCCUCCCUGAAGGUGGCGACAUUCACAGCCAGGUGAUGCUGCUCAACGGAAGGGCCUUGACCACCGAUGCGGACGGGAACAUCCCUAGGAUGGAGCCCAUCAUUGUGCAUGCAGCGCAGCCCAUUGCCAUUGCGCCUCUGUCCAUCGUCUUUGCCCACAUGCCCAAUUAUUAUGCCCCUGCGUGUAGUUAA
RNAcentral lists this ribosomal RNA (1188 nucleotides) under Triticum aestivum (bread wheat). RNAcentral's name for it is "partial small subunit ribosomal RNA". Lineage: Eukaryota; Viridiplantae; Streptophyta; Magnoliopsida; Poales; Poaceae. The record is from RNAcentral.